UUGUGGAGGAGGACGCCGAAGGUGGGGCUAAUGACUGGGGUGAAGUCGUAACAAGGUAGCCGUACCGGAAGGUGCGGCUGGAUCACCUCCUAACAGGGAGACAACAAAAUGUUUAAUAUUAUUAUUUUGUCACCUUAGGUCGAUCGGUAUCUCACGUUCUUAUAUUAAGAAUUUCAUUUCCUAAGUUUUUUCUAGGUCACACCCAUUAUUUUUCCUGGGCCAUUAGCUCAGGUGGUUAGAGCGCACCCCUGAUAAGGGUGAGGUCCCUGGUUCAAGUCCAGGAUGGCCCAUAUCUCUAUGUUGGGGGUAUAGCUCAGUUGGUAGAGCGCCUGCUUUGCAAGCAGGAUGUCAGCGGUUCGAGUCCGCUUACCUCCACUGAUUACCACCUCUUCCAUAAUUUGAAGAAAGGAAAUUUUUUGAGUUGUGAUCAAAUUCUGAACGAAUCUAGCUUCCUAAUGAAUCUAUUAAGAUGCUGGACUCAUUGAAUUAAUUUUCAUUGUUUUCAGAGAACCUUGACAACUGCAUAGAUUAUUUUUAAAGACAAUAAGCAUCUUUAAUGAUGCAGAUUUAUUAUUUGUGCGAAUGCAUUAAUAACAAUUCUAUUAAGCUGAUGCUUCAAUUUAAUGAAGUUAUUGGUCAAGCUACAA
Molecule: unclassified non-coding RNA, 647 nt
Filed under: uncultured Prochlorococcus sp.
Lineage: Bacteria; Bacillati; Cyanobacteriota; Cyanophyceae; Synechococcales; Prochlorococcaceae
Description: partial 16S-23S ribosomal RNA intergenic spacer; may also contain 16S ribosomal RNA and 23S ribosomal RNA
Rfam family: tRNA (bases 303-375)
Source: RNAcentral